AGCGAACGCUGGCGGCAGGCUUAACACAUGCAAGUCGAACGGGCUUCUUCGGACGUCAGUGGCAGACGGGUGCGUAACACGUGGGAACGUGCCCUUCGGUUCGGAAUAACUCAGGGAAACUUGAGCUAAUACCGGAUACGCCCUUUUGGGGAAAGGUUUACUGCCGAAGGAUCGGCCCGCGUCUGAUUAGCUUGUUGGUGGGGUAACGGCCUACCAAGGCGACGAUCAGUAGCUGGUCUGAGAGGAUGAUCAGCCACACUGGGACUGAGACACGGCCCAGACUCCUACGGGAGGCAGCAGUGGGGAAUAUUGGACAAUGGGCGCAAGCCUGAUCCAGCCAUGCCGCGUGAGUGAUGAAGGCCUUAGGGUUGUAAAGCUCUUUUGUCCGGGACGAUAAUGACGGUACCGGAAGAAUAAGCCCCGGCUAACUUCGUG
Molecule: ribosomal RNA, 435 nt
Filed under: uncultured bacterium
Lineage: Bacteria
Description: partial 16S ribosomal RNA
Rfam family: Bacterial small subunit ribosomal RNA
Source: RNAcentral